Symphalangus syndactylus (siamang) is the source of this 189-nucleotide long non-coding RNA. RefSeq lists it as uncharacterized. The record is from RefSeq and is a predicted model, not a curated record. Lineage: Eukaryota; Metazoa; Chordata; Mammalia; Primates; Hylobatidae.
AGAACUUCAAAUAACAACGUAGUUUCCAUCUGAUGACAUGGAACCUCAGUUAGAGAUGAGCUUUCACCAUAUUGGCCAGCCUGGUCUCAAACUCCUGACCUCAAGUGAUCCACCUACCUCAGCCUCUCAAACUGCUGGAAUUACAGCUUCUGCAGAAGCCUGCCUAAUCUUUAGAAACCUACGAUGCAG